GACGAACGCUGGCGGCGUGCUUAACACAUGCAAGUCAAGGGGGCCCGCAAGGGCAACCGGCGAACGGGUGCGUAACACGUGAGCAACCUGCCUUAGUGUGGGGGAUAGCCGGCCCAACGGCCGGGUAAUACCGCAUACGAUUCUCGAGAGGAGUCUCUUGGGAAGGAAACCUUUUGGGCACUAAGAGGGGCUCGCGGCCUAUCAGCUAGUUGGCGGGGUAAUGGCCCACCAAGGCGACGACGGGUAGCUGGCUGAGAGGAUGGCCAGCCACAUUGGGACUGAGAGACGGCCCAGACUCCUACGGGAGGCAGCAGUGGGGAAUCUUGCGCAAUGGCCGAAAGGCUGACGCAGCGACGCCGCGUGUGGGAUGACGCC
Molecule: ribosomal RNA, 375 nt
Filed under: uncultured bacterium
Lineage: Bacteria
Description: bacterial SSU rRNA
Rfam family: Bacterial small subunit ribosomal RNA
Source: RNAcentral